GACGAACGCUGGCGGCGUGCUUAACACAUGCAAGUCGGACGGAAAGGCCCUGCUUUUGUGGGGUGCUCGAGUGGCGAACGGGUGAGUAACACGUGAGUAACCUGCCCUUGACUUUGGGAUAACUUCAGGAAACUGGGGCUAAUACCGGAUAGGAGCUCCUGCUGCAUGGUGGGGGUUGGAAAAUUUCGGCGGUUGGGGAUGGACUCGCGGCUUAUCAGCUUGUUGGUGGGGUAGUGGCUUACCAAGGCUUUGACGGGUAGCCGGCCUGAGAGGGUGACCGGCCACAUUGGGACUGAGAUACGGCCCAGACUCCUACGGGAGGCAGCAGUGGGGAAUAUUGCACAAUGGGCGGAAGCCUGAUGCAGCAACGCCGCGUGCGGGAUGACGGCCUUCGGGUUGUAAACCGCUUUCGCCUGUGACGAAGCGUGAGUGACGGUAAUGGGUAAAGAAGCACCGGCUAACUACGUG
This 468-nucleotide ribosomal RNA is filed under the name uncultured bacterium. RNAcentral's name for it is "partial 16S ribosomal RNA". It matches the Rfam family "Bacterial small subunit ribosomal RNA", at positions 28 to 507 of the family's 1533-position model. The record is from RNAcentral.